This 443-nucleotide long non-coding RNA is filed under the name Nicotiana tabacum (common tobacco). RNAcentral describes it as "long non-coding RNA (NTAB_LNC001488)". The record is from RNAcentral. Lineage: Eukaryota; Viridiplantae; Streptophyta; Magnoliopsida; Solanales; Solanaceae.
UGAAAUCCUUCACAUUCAAAACCAAAGGGAGAUGAUGCAAAACUUAAAGCAAACAUAAAUAUCAACUACUUAAUAGUACAACAGUGACAACGAGCAAAGCCACAGCAAAAACUAACAACAAACUAAUAGACAGAACAUGUUUGGCUUAAUAGAAGUUUAUUUUAGAUAAUACAAGGCCUAGAACUAGCUCUGUAGCUUCUCAAACUCAAUAGGAACUUCUCCCGUCACCCUCUGUGAUCACAUCUUUGAAAGCUCCGCCACUGGGAAUCAUAGGUAAAACAUGUUCCUGAUGAGGUACAAUCACAUCCAACAAGUAUGGCCCAGGAGUGUCUAACAUCUUCUGAAUGGCAGCUCUAAGAUCAUCCCUAUGUGUCACUCUUGCAGCAGGUACGCCACAAGCCUCUGCAAAUUUCAGCAUAUUAGGAAAGAUCUCCGCCUCAUUA